GUUAUUGUAGCUUAUUAUAUUAAAGCACGGCACUGAAGAUGCCAAGAUGGGUAAUAAACAUACCCCAAAAACA
RNAcentral lists this transfer RNA (73 nucleotides) under Chelonia mydas (Green sea turtle). RNAcentral's name for it is "tRNA-Phe". It matches the Rfam family "tRNA". From Rfam's summary of the family: Transfer RNA (tRNA) molecules are approximately 80 nucleotides in length. The record is from RNAcentral. Lineage: Eukaryota; Metazoa; Chordata; Testudines; Cheloniidae.